UUUAUUCAUGUUGAUUAUUUUUAUUCUUGAUCAUUGUUUGUCAAUUAUUAUUAUGUAUUUUUGUUACACAGCUCGCAAUCCACUUAUUAUACUUACAUCACACAAUCAACCAAACAUUGGUUCACGACUAUUUUUUUUUUUUUGCAAACAGUGCUCUCUUUCGCUUUCUCUUUCUCGCAACUGACGACUUCUUUUCCGUGGCUUCCGUCACUCGUUUUGAUAUUUGAACAGUUAAAUAAAAACAUGAACCUUCAAUAAACGAAAACUGCAAAGGUACCAAUUCACUAUUGUUCGUUAGUCGUGUUUAAAAAAAAAACGCAUUUUACUGGUUCUUAUUUUCUGUUUGAUGUGAACAUAUUUAAUUACUAUUAUUUAUUUUGUGUAUGCGCUUUCUACCCGGUUUCAAGUGUAAUAUGGACAAUCCUGCAGCUACUUUACAACAACACAGCGUUCGAAAGUUGUAUGAACCAAUCGCUCAACAUCGUCGUGUUUGCGUUAUUACUUGAGUUCCAUAUUGUUUGUUAUUGUUGUUUCCGUAAUUAUUGUAUGUUAGCUAGUUAUGAAUAUGUUUAUUAACUAUUAGAGAAGGAGUGGAGUUAGGGGGCGGGGAUGUAUCAUAAGUUUUUUUUGUUUAAGUUCUAUACAUUGCACAGUGGCUUUCCUACAGACGCUUCUCUUUCUUCUAACGAAACAUGAGAAAUUGAAACUAUGUAGAUUAUCUAAAAUAAACUUAAGCUAACUACAACAUAAAACUAAACGAUAGUUUGAACAGCCUGAUUGCGUAAUUUUUUACAUAAAGAAAACAGAAAAAAAAAACUUAAUAAAUCUAAAGCUCUCACGUUUCUACCGGUGGGACUUGGUGUGAAUUUAUUGUACAUCUCUCAUCUCUCCCCAGCAUCCGUCAGAUUUUGCGACUAGAGCGAUUCUCGAUUAGGUACGGGUUUUGUUUUUAAGGAUAUUUGUGGAGCCCACAUCUUUGGGAUUAAAUAAUUCGCACAAGCGCUUUCGACAAGCAUUGGAAGCCAUGAAGUUCUAGGGAAGAAGGAGAUUUAGAAGUCUUGUUAGUAAAAGGGUGGAACGGUCAAAAAUUGGUCGACUCAAAUUUGGCGAAUUCUUUUUAAUCGUGCAUUUAAAAAACUUGCACUCCACUUAUUUUGUAGGUCUGUACGUACGGACUGUUGCCUCUAUUUUGUUUUUGCCAUUUUCCUUUCAGUUGUCAAAAUGACAUCGAAGCAAGAGAAACAGCGUAUCAAAAUUUUGCUCGCGCAUAAGCGCAUAAGAAAUCCAAAUUAUUCCCACGCAGAUUGAUUGCGUCUCAAAUUGGAUUGCGUUAUAAUGAACGAUGAAGUAUACGUCAAGGCGGAUUUCAAGCAGCUCCCAGGUCAAGAUACCCGGCUACCGGGAAAGGUAAGAUAAGUUUAAGCAGAAGAAGUUGUCAAAGUUCCCGAAAAAAUACUUGGUUUGGCAGGCCAUUUGCACCUCUGGGCUGAAAAGCGAAAUUUUCGUAACAACUGGCAUUGUCAAUCAAGAUAUUUAUGAAAAGAAAUUUGCAAAAACGAUUGAUGCCAGUUGUUCCGCGCUGUUUUGGCCAGACCUCGCUUCCUGUCACUACGGGGAAAUGGCUCACCGGUAUACCGCCAACAACGUGCAAGUCGUAACCAAGGACAAAAACCCUCCAAACUCGCCGGAGCUGCGCCCAAUCGAAAAAUAUUGGGCAAUCGUGAAACGGAACCUAAAGAAAUCUCAGAAAACAGUUACAGUUCAAAGCAAAUAAGGUUGAUACAACAGUGGUUCAAAAUCUGAUAAAAGGUGUGAAACGUAAAGCCCGACAUUUCGCAUUUUGAAAUUCGGAAGCCUAAUCAAACAAUUUUCCUGUAGAUUGAUAAUGUAUACAACAACAUAAUCAGUGUGCCGUUAAUCAUGAUUGACCAAUUUUUGACCGUUCCACCCUUUAGUCUUGUGAUAGUUUGAUAAGAUGGAAUUGUACGGAAUUUCACGAAACUUUUGGGUUUUGACUAUGAAAACAGGAGAAUUAUGGAAGUUUAACAUUCGGAAAAUUGUUUUGCUGGCCAAAUCUCACAUUUGAAUACAAUAUUUGCUGUUUCUGGGCCUGGCGAGGUUUCUGAUAGCUAUUGCCGGAAAUUGAAAAUUUCGUUUCGUAUCGUUUAGACAAAAAUUGGCCAAAGCUAAGUUUAUGAUUACAGAAUAUUUUGAAGGAAAUUAUGCAAACAAUUUGAAUUAAUAGGCUCUUACAGACCCACGCAUAAUAACAAUAAGGUAAACGAAUCCAAAUUGUGAAAGUUUCAAAGAAUUUCAUACCGCAUACCUCUAUUAAAAAUCCUUCCAGUGCUGAGAUUUGCCUUUGUCUGACAGACUUUCGCGGGAUAUUGACAAAAUUAUUUAUUGCGUAGUCACUGAUAAAAUUGAUUCUAAAAAAAAAACGUUUGUCAAAAUCUCAUUCAUUUUUUUCGUAAAUGACAAAGUUUCAGUUGACAACCAAACGUUUGAUUUCGUGCAUUCUGUGUCACAUUAUAGUUAUCCAGGCAGUUCAGGACGUAGAUGCUUGUUUCACGGUUCCAUGUAAUUGUUUUGCUCAAGUCAUAUAAUUUCGUUACCAAUUUAGCUAAUACAAAAAAUCUGAACAUGUUCAUCACUGACAGCAUUGCCACUGACAAUUGACAUAGCUUGCCUUAACGAUGACUGUUAGCUCAAAUAAGUGACCAAAGCAGAAUUUUGAAUAUCGCCGUGCAUCGAGAUUUUGCAGCACUGAAUCCUUCCGUUAAAACGAGGACAACAUAUCAAGAAGACUGGCAACUCUUCGUUUUCUCAUACAACCUCUAUAAGACAGGAACAAUCGAGUCAUCUGUCGCUCAAAGGUAAACGCUUCGAACGAAGUUGAUAGCAAAGAUUACAACCUAAGAAGAAAGGCUUGUGUAUUUGCUCAUAUUUCUAUACGCUGCUUCCACCUUCACCCAAGUGCAACGCUACUGUAUGUGUCGCUUGGACUCCGGCAAAGUUGCCAGUCUUCUUGAUAUGUUGUCUUCGGUUAAAAAAGAAUAUGGAU
Molecule: long non-coding RNA, 3064 nt
Organism: Ochlerotatus camptorhynchus
Lineage: Eukaryota; Metazoa; Arthropoda; Insecta; Diptera; Culicidae
Exons: 2
Source: RefSeq, a predicted model, not a curated record